Molecule: long non-coding RNA, 6712 nt
Filed under: Homo sapiens (human)
Lineage: Eukaryota; Metazoa; Chordata; Mammalia; Primates; Hominidae
Description: non-protein coding lnc-SUN3-1:3
Source: RNAcentral
AGCCCGCAAUUGCUUCUCGCCUCUGCAGAGCAGCUGGGCAAUUGUAAAGAACCAGCAGCCAGUUCUGUUACUCAUUAAACAGCCCCUACUACAGAGGAAAUCUUCUUACCCACGUGGUCCUAACCUGGGGCGGAGGAAACCGGGCUAGAAGCGGCUCUAGGACUAACCCAAGGUCACGCCGCCAGGCAGGAUCCCCGGUCUGUCUGUCUGGCGGUGGCCCCGCGGCUGGGGCCAGCGGAGAGAAAUGACAGCGUGGAACCAGCCCUGGCCCGGUGGUCGGGAAUGUGGAGCUGGCACUGUCACUGUGUGUACCCUGGAUCUCUCUGGACGGCCUCGGCUUCCCCCCUGGGGAGUUUCUCUGGGACCUUCCUGAUCCUGGGAGUUCCCGCUUGCUGGGGCAAAGCCAGGAGCUCGCCCGAGGAGGGGAAGUGACUCAUUCACUUCGAGUCGCAGCUAAGUGGCCGAACUGCCUCAAACCGGCGCUGCACUCUGACCCCCAGGGGCCGGACCUGCCUGCCCCCGGCCGGUGCCCACUCUCCGUCUCAGGCGUCUUUCCUGGUCCUCUCCCUGCUUCCCGAACGCGCACUCUGGUGAGAGCACAGAGCCUGGGAAAGAAGACGACCUAGAGGCCCGGGCAGCCCAGCACCUCUGUUACUUGCUUCCUAAAGGGAACUCCAGUUCCUGAGAAAACAUGGGGUUGGGCCGGGAGUGGUGGCUCACGCCUGUAAUCCCAGCACUUUGGAAGGCCGAGGCGGAUGGAUCACCUGAGGUCAGGAGUUCGAGACCAGCCUGCCCAACAUGGUGAAACCCCGUCACUACUAAAAAUACAAAAAAUUAGCUGGACGUGGUGUCGCGUGCCUGUAAUCCCAGGUACUAGGCAGGCCGAGGCAGGAGAAUUGCUUGAACCCAGCGAAGGAUGCAGUGAGCCGAGAUCGCGCCAUUGCACUCCAUACUGGGUGACAAGAGUGAAACACACAAACAAAUCAAGGAAGGAAUUAAGGGUUUUAUUGAAAAUGAAAGUACGGCCAGGCGCAGUGGCUCACACCUGUAAUCCCAGCACUUUGGGAGGCCGAGGCGGGUGGAUUACAAAGUCAGGAGUUCAAGACCAGCCUAACCAAGAUGGUGAAACCCCGUCUCUACUAAAAGUAAAAAAAAAAAAAAAACAAAAAAAAAAACCUAGCCGGUCACAGUGGCAGGUGCCUGUAAUUCCAGCUACUUGGGAGGCUGAGGCAGGAGAACCACUUGAACCUGGGUGGCAGAGGUUGCAGUGAGCUGAGAUCAUGCCACUGCAUUCCAGCCUUGGUGACACAGUGAGACGCCAUCUCAAAAAAAAAAGGUAAAUGAAAGUACACUCCACAGUGUGGGAGCGGGCCUGAGCGUAGGGGCUCAAAGGCCCCAUUCCAGAAUUUUGGGGAGUUUCAAUGUCCUCCGCUUGGGGCACACACUAUGUAAAUGAAAGGGAUGAUGCAAAGUUACAAAGUCAUUUACUUGGCCUACGCAGAGGCUAUUUCCUGUCAUAGCUAAAGUGUGAAUCGGCCUUAUGUUCCCUGCCUCCAGACCCUAUUUUGCUGCCUCAGACUGAAGACUGAAACUGGCCUGGUUAGGAAGUUGCUAUUCUCUCUCUCUGAAGGUAGAUUAACAACUUAGUUUUAGUUUUGUUACCGGAAAAGGGUCCCAAUCCAGACCCCAAGAGAAUGUUCUUGGAUCUUGUGCAAGAAAGAAUUCGGGGCCAGGGUGAGUCCACAGAGUAAAGUGAAAGAAGCAAGCUUAUUGAGAAAGUAAAGGAAUAAAAGAAUGGCAAUUCCAUGGGCAGGGCAGCCUCUAGGGCUGCUGGUUGGCUAUUUUUAUGGUUAUUUCUUGAUCAUAUACUAAAUAAGGGUGGAUUAUUCAUGAGUUUUCUAGGAAUUCUUCCUUUUAGAACAUAUAGGGUAACUUCUAAAUGUUGCCAUGGUAUUUAUAAACUGUCAUGGUGCUGGUAGGAGUGUCGUUUAGCAUGAGAAUGCAUUGUAAUUAGCGAAUAAUGAGCAAUGAGGAAGACCAGAGGUAGUUUUCCUCACCUUGCUGGUUUUUGGCAGGUUUUGGCCAGUUUUGGCUGGCUUCUUUACUGCAUCCUGUUUCAUCAGCAAGGUCUUUGUAACCUGUAUCUUGUGAUACCACCUGCCAACCUUCUAUUUCAUCCUGUGACUAAGGAUGCCUAACCUCCUGGGAAUGCACUCCAGCAGAUCUCAGCCUCAUUUUACCCAGCUCCUAUUCAAGAUGAAGAGUCUCUGAGUCGACUCCUGCUGACAUAUUUCCUGACUCUACAACCCUUAGGAUUAAGGGUUCCCUUGUAAAAGGGAAGGGGGAAUAACCAAAUAACUCACCCCUUUCUUGGAAAACUCAGGAAUAAUCCACCCCUUGCUUAGCACAUAUUCAAGAGUAAUCAUAAAAAAUACCCACCAGCAGCCCUUGGGGAUGCUCUGCCUAUGGAGUAGCCACUCUUUUAUUCCCUUCCUUUCUUAAUAAACUUCCUUUUACUGUUCUCUGUGGACUCACCCCAAAUUCUUUCUUGUAGGAGAUCCAAGAACUUUCUCUAGGGCUCAGGAUCAGGACGCCUUUCCAGUAAGUUUGGUGACCUGAAACGUUAGCAUGGGUGACUUUAUUUUUAUUUUUAGUCUUGUCUUUUGGGGCCUAGUGCAAGAGCUUAGUCUAAAACAAUGGCCUCCUAUAAUUUGUGUUUAACAUUUGUCAGGUUAAAACCUUGUCAGUGUGACAAACUGGAAACAAAAUUGUGUCGGGCCACUACUAAACCACACCCAAAAUACCUGUGUCAUCAAUGUUUGCAAGCAGAGAGCAAAUGCAGCCCACCAAUGGCCACCUAGAGCAGCAGCUGCUAGAGGCAGGAAAGUCUGGAAGAGACCCAGGGCUUGCAGGCUCAGCCAGGAUCCCCCUGCUCCUCAACAAGGUCUUUGGGCUCUUUCAGAGAUGCAGUUGGCCCUGAGCUCUGAGAGGUGGGGAGGGAAGGGGCUGAGAGGCUGAAGGCCAGGCCACACCAGAUAGUGACACACCACUGCCCUUCAGGUUUCCCAAAUCUAAGUAACUUCAAACUCUUUGAAAUUCUCCCAAAGCUAAUGUGUCUACCUAAAAGAAAGAUGAGACAAAAUUAACAUAGAGAGUUUAUUUGUGCCCAGGUUGAGGACUGUAGCCCAGGACACACUUCUAAGUUGCCAUGGGGAGUGCUCCAAGAACAAAAAGGAGGCUCAAGUUUUUAAAGAAAAAAGAACAACUCAGGAGAUGGGGCGAUUGCAGAGUUGUCAGGAAUCCUCAUUGGUUUACAGAAAUAACAUUGGUUAGUGAUUGCCCACACAGUGUUGAACUAUAGGGUGGAUGGCAUCUUAUGGCUAAUUGGCCUCAGUUAUUCUACAGCCACAUAGCAAGUGGCUUCAAGAGGUAACCACUUAGCUGAAGGGGAAGUGAGCCAUGACUGCUGUUCUGUUCUAAAUGUUCUCUGGGCCUGAUAAUUUAAAGGCUCACCUUCCUCAGGAAAAGAAAUGUGUUUGUUGUUUGUUUGUUUGUUUUCUUUCUCAGAUAAUAUUUUAGAGAUAGUAGCUGAGGCUUCUUCUCUGUUUGUCCUCACUUCCCAAUUCCUCAUGCAAUUGCUCUUUUCUUUCCAAUCCAGCAGCCAUACAGAUUUCUAGAACACCCCUCAGAGAGGGCAGAAAUUGAGCCGCAGUGUUUUCUAAACAGCUGCCUGGUCCAUUCGUGGGUCAUGAAACCCAUGUGGUGGGUCACAGCUAGCAUUUUCAUUGUCAGUGAGACAGAAUGGAGUGAAAAAGCCUCUGCCUGCUUUCCACACCAGAGCACGUACUUUUAUCACACGAACUAUGACUCAGACACCACAAACCCAGACCAGGCCUCCAGGUCAGAAGUUGACUCCCCUGAGGCCUGUGGUGAGACUACAGCAUGACUCAGACCCCUGAGAUUUCAAAUUCUUGCCAAAAUACAAAAAGUGAGAUUCUUCCCGCCAACUCUCACUCAUCAUAUAGAGCUACUCAGUCCCCUGACCCACCCCCAGCUCAGAUAGGCUCACAGUGGCAGGCCCACUCCCCUGGCAGCUGAGUCCAGUCUGAUGAGCCAUCACUUUCCCAGGUUGCUGGUCCUAGUAGUCAACAAAGAGAGUCAAACUCUGUAAAAUAUUUGAAGAGAUUUAUCCUAAGCCAAAUGUGAAUGACCAUGGCCCGUGACACAGCAAACGGCCCUCAGGAGGUUCUGAGGACACGUGCCCAAGGCGGUCAGGGUGCAGCUUGGUUUUAUAUGUUUUAGGAAUGCAUGAGACAGCAAUCAAAUACAUUUAAGAAAUACAUUGGUUUGGUCCAGAAAGGCAGGACAACUCAAAGCGGGGUAGGGGGCAGGGUUCAAGGCUAUAGGUAAAUUUAGACAUUUUCUGGUUUACAAUUGGUUGAGUUUGUCUAAAGACCUGGAUUGAUAGAAAGGAAAUGUCCAGGUUAAGAUAAAAGAUUGUGGAGACCCAGGGUAUUUGAAGUCUUAUAGUGGCUGCCCUUAGAGACAAUAGAUGACAAAUGUUUCCUAUUCAGAUCUUUAAUAAAAGGUGCUAGACACUUAGUUAAUCUCUUUUUUUUUUUUUUUUUUUUGAGAUGGAGUCUCACACUCUCACCCAGGCUGGAGUGCAGUGGCGCGAUCUCGGCUCACUGAAAGCUCCGCCUCCCAGGUUCAUGCCAUUCUCCUGCCUCAGCCUCCCGAGUAGCUGGGACUACAGGCGCCCGCCACCACACCCAGCUAAUUUUUGUAUUUUCAGUAGGGACAGGGUUUCACCAUGUUAGCCAGGAUGGUCUCGAUCUCCUGACCUUGUGAUCCACCUGCCUCGGCCUCCCAAAGUGCUGGGAUUGCAGGCGUGAGCCACCGUGCCCGGCCAGUUAAUCUCUUUAAAAUUGGGAGAGCCUGGAAGAAAAAGCUCUAGCUAUGUUAAUAGAGAUUUUUUACAGAUGCAAAUUUCCCCCACAAAGGACAGCUUUGCAGGGCCAUUUCAAGAUAUGGCAAAGAAACAUGUUUUGGGAUAAAAUAUUUUUAUUUUCUUCCCUGUCUCGUAAUGUUAUGCCAGAGUCAGGUUGGAAAGUAAGUCACGAUAUAUAGGGUUAAAUAAAACCCAUCUCAUGAGAAUUCAUUGUUUAUAGGGCAUGACUCCCCAGACCCCUUAGAUAAGAAUUGGCAAGAUAAAAAAAAACGUCAGAGCUUAGUCCUCACAGUCAAUGGCUAGCCUCCAAGGAAGUGGAGGAUUCCCACAGGAUUCCAGCUGCCCAGAGGCUUCACAGGCAUAUCCAUGUUUACAGAAAAGAUACAGGCCAUGAGAUAUUUAUACAAAACACUUAGGAGUCACAGCCAGCUACCCAACGGAUGCCAAUGGCUGACUGGUUCUUGCCCUCUCAGUCUUCACCUUUAGGAGAGGUGGUGCUGGCAGGAUGUGGUAUUUCUCAUUCAGGGCCUCUGGAACCAUCUAAUCUAGGAAACACCCUUGUCUCAUGCCUUGCUGCCACACAGCUCCAUUUGCUCUCCAGUUUUCCAAGAAGCCUUCUACCUGACUGGUUUUGCUCUAAACCACUAUCUCAGACUGAAAUUCUUCACAAAUUCCACCCAGGAAUAAUAAGGGUUCAUUUCUGAACUGGACUCAGCAUGCCAUAUGACCCAUGGAGAUAUUUUCCUCAUGAGAUUUGACACAGGGGUCAUUGGCCAUGCCGCACCCUAGCUGAUGACUGGGCAAGUUACCAAAAACCAUCUGAGCCAGCCUCCUCGUCUACGCAGGGGAAUAAUAUGGUUCUGCAGGAUGGUUGAGGUCAGGGAAAAAUGUAUUCAAAUUAGCAAAUUCUUGCCAAAAUACAAAAAGCGAGAUUCUUCCCACCAACUCUCACUCAUCAUAUAGAACUACUCAGUGCCCCAUGUAUACAAAUGUAACAAGCCUGCAUGUUGUGCACAUGUACCCUAAAACUUAAAGUAUCAUAGUAAUAAAAUUUAAAAAAAAAGAAGGCUUUUCUGGUUCAUUGUUCUGUUUGUUAUUCUGCUGCUUAUGUUUAGAAAACACGCAGAGAGCUAGGAUGAGGCAUUCUUGGAGCCACCUCGUUAGAAAAAUGAAGUCUGCUGCCUUGCUUUCACAAUGGCUGGAGCCUCAGAAGUCACUCCGAGAUGCAGCAAAGUGCAGGGGAUCAAACCAUUGAUUGCUGAAUUUGAGUCUUACUUUCGUCAUUUAUUAUUAGCUGUGUGACAGCUGGUAAAUUAACUUAAUCUCUCUGUCUCUGUGUUUUCAUUUGUAAAUGGUAUUAAUAUUAGUGCCUCUCCCCCAGGGUUCUUAAGAAGAUUAAAACAGUUGAUAUUUGUAAAGUACUUAGAAUAUUGCCUGUACAGCUAAUUAUUUAAUAACAUUUUAAUGUGAUGUGACCUCAUUAGAUCUGAUGUCUACAAACAGUACUUUGAGUUUGAGAAUUGUUAUCAUUUUAAGUGUUUCUUGCCUUUGUUUUCAGUAUAUCUUGAAAUUAUUAAACUUCGACUGGUGAAAAAAAAAAAAAAAACUACUCAGUGCCCUGAGAUACCUUCUAUAUCCCUGCUUUUUUAAAAACUUCAGGUUGGUUAAAUCUUACAUCUAUGUUGUCAUAGAUCAGCAGUCCUCAAUUUUUUGGCAGAUAUUUUUUCUACAGACGUGGGGGUAUGGGGGCGAUGGUUUCAG